CUCAUUAGUUGGUCGCUCGGUAGCAAGAGCCAGAGCACCUAGCGUGUCCAUGAUGAGAUUCACCCAAAGUAAUUGAACUGCUGUUAAGGGAACUUCACCAGCUGAAACUGCUGCAAUAAAGUUGAUUACUAGAGCUGCAACAUUAACGGUUAGUUGAAAUUGGAUGAAUUUCUGUAUAUUGUUAUAAACACAUCUCCCCCAUCUCAAAACCGUGGCCACAGAAUUGAAGUUGUCAUCCAAGAUGAUGAUAUCCGAGCUUUCUUUUGCCACCUCAGUUCCUUGGAUUCCCAUGGAAAGUCCUAUAUCAGCUUCUUUCAAUGCAGGUGCAUCAUUUGUACCAUCACCAGUGACUGCAACCACAUGACCUUUCUGCUUCAAACACUGUACCAUUAAAAGCUUGUCGAAUGGGGAGGACCUUGCCAUCACACGGAUGUUAUCAACCUUCUGCAUUCUUUCUGCGUCAGUGUAGUUUCGAAAUUCGGCUCCUUCUACAACUUGUCCAUCACUAGGUUGGUUCUCUUUCUUUAGUAUUCCACAUUCUGUAGCUAUAGCUUUUGCUGUGAAAAUAUUGUCUCCAGUUAUCAUUUUGAUGUCCACACCUGCAGCCUUGCAGACUCUCACAGCAUCGAUGACCCCUGGUCGACAUGGAUCUUUGAGACCAACUAUCCCCAGCAAGAUCAGCCCAUCUUCUUUGAGCCUUUGGUGAGUCUUGUCGUCAUCACUGUAUUCAAUUUCUUCCUCUGAAAUUUGUGCAUGAGCGAAAGCAAUGCAUCGGAGGCUACUAGCUGCCAUCCCUUGGAUAAUUUUCUGAAGGUUAGACCUUGUAUCUACAUCCAAGGGCUUUACAGUUCCAUUGGUAUCAUAAUACCUUGAGCAUGUUGCAACUAUCAUCUCAGCAGCUCCUUUCCAAUGCACAUGGAUGGUGUUGUCAUUUUUUUUCUUUAUAAGAACCCCACUUCGUUUCUUGUCUGAAUUAAAUGUUUCAACAUGGAGAAUGUCAUACCUGGGCUUCAGUUCUUCCAUGUCCAUACCCAAAUCUAAAACAACCCAAUAGAGUAUUGCCUUCUCUGUUGGGCUGCCGGAGAUUUCGGGUUUGGAUCCUGUAAGAGGUUUGAAAACACUCCCAGUUGUGUUCAAACCAACUCCUUGAUAGAACAACUCACGAACAUUUGGUGUGAUGGAUGAAUUAUCUUCUGCAAUAGAGUCUUGGCCUACCCAAAACUUAGUUACUUUCAUUUGGUUUAGUGUCAGAGUUCCUGUUUUGUCAGUGCAGAUAACGGUUGCUGACCCCAUUGUCUCACAAGCCGAUAGUUUUCUAACCAUUGCCUGAUCUUUCAUCAUUCUUUUCAUAGAGUAAGCUAGUGUUAGUGUGACAGCCAGUGGCAAGCCUUCAGGAAUUGCCACCACCACUAUAGUGACUGCAGCAGAUACAAUCCGCACUACUGCAUUCAACACAUCAUCUGUUUUUGUUUUGCUACCAAUAUACUCCUUAUUGCCAUUCUUAUCUUUUGUGUUGCCAGUGAAAUAACGAAUCAACAAGACUAGAAGAACUAAGAAAGCAACUGCAAGGCCUACCUUUCCAAUUGAAGAGGUAAGUUUGUCUAGCCGAGCUUGUAAUGGAGUUCUUACAUUUGAUUCCUGCGAAAUUGAGCUCAUCAUCUCGCCCCAUGCAGUGUUCAUCCCAACUGAUGUGACCAGCAUUCUACCAUAACCAUCAGCCACCUUUGCACCAGACAAGAGGAAGGGAUUCUUUGUAGAAUCAACUUCUACAUAGUCGCUCUCCCCGGUCAUGCUGGACUCGUCCACUUGAAAUGAGUAGCCA
Molecule: long non-coding RNA, 1822 nt
Filed under: Fragaria vesca (wild strawberry)
Lineage: Eukaryota; Viridiplantae; Streptophyta; Magnoliopsida; Rosales; Rosaceae
Description: long non-coding RNA (FVES_LNC000745)
Source: RNAcentral